RNAcentral lists this ribosomal RNA (253 nucleotides) under uncultured bacterium. RNAcentral describes it as "partial 16S ribosomal RNA". It matches the Rfam family "Bacterial small subunit ribosomal RNA", at positions 524 to 776 of the family's 1533-position model. The record is from RNAcentral.
UACGGGGGGGGCGAGCGUUGUCCGAAGUUACUGGGCGUAAAGCGCGUGUAGGCGGGUUGUUAAGUCCGCUGUGAAAGCCCGGUGCUCAACGCCGGAGGGUCGGUGGAUACUGGCAGUCUUGAAGUGGCUAGGGGGAAAUGGAAUUACCGGUGUAGCGGUGAAAUUCGUAGAUAUUCGGAAGAACACCAGUGGCGAAGGCGGCUCACUGGCCCGGUACUGACGCUGAGGCGCGAAAGCUAGGGGAGCAAACAGG